Molecule: ribosomal RNA, 254 nt
Filed under: uncultured bacterium
Lineage: Bacteria
Description: partial 16S ribosomal RNA
Rfam family: Bacterial small subunit ribosomal RNA
Source: RNAcentral
UACGUAGGGUGCAAGCGUUGUCCGGAAUUAUUGGGCGUAAAGAGCUCGUAGGCGGUGUGUCGCGUCUGCUGUGAAAACUCAGGGCUCAACUCUGAGCUUGCAGUGGGUACGGGCACACUAGAGUGCUGUAGGGGAGACUGGAAUUCCUGGUGUAGCGGUGGAAUGCGCAGAUAGUCAGGAGGAACACCGAUGGCGAAGGCAGAUCUCUGGGCCGUAACUGACGCUGAGGAGCGAAAGCAUGGGGAGCGAACAGG